CGCGUUGUCAUUGGGGAGUAGCCAGCCUCGUUCCCCCUGAGGCGUUCGCAUCAACAGACUUGGUCGCCGUGUUCUCCGGCGCCAUGGUGCGAACAGCCACCGACGUCGUCAGGCGCCGGUGUUGCCCGGCGAGA
RNAcentral lists this small RNA (134 nucleotides) under Rhodanobacter fulvus. Its description in RNAcentral is "Manganese sequence". It matches the Rfam family "Manganese Mn2+ riboswitch aptamer (yybP-ykoY)". Rfam says of the family: This RNA was originally discovered in E. coli during a large scale screen and was named SraF. The family was later found to exist upstream of related families of protein genes in many bacteria, including the the yybP and ykoK genes in B. subtilis. The specific functions of these proteins are unknown, but this structured RNA element may be involved in their genetic regulation as a riboswitch. Lineage: Bacteria; Pseudomonadati; Pseudomonadota; Gammaproteobacteria; Lysobacterales; Rhodanobacteraceae. The record is from RNAcentral.